GGGAAUAUUGCACAAUGGGGGAAACCCUGAUGCAGCGACGCCGCGUGAGUGAUGAAGUAUUUCGGUAUGUAAAGCUCUAUCAGCAGGGAAGAAAAUGACGGUACCUGACUAAGAAGCACCGGCUAAAUACGUGCCAGCAGCCGCGGUAAUACGUAUGGUGCAAGCGUUAUCCGGAUUUACUGGGUGUAAAGGGAGCGUAGACGGAGAGGCAAGUCUGAUGUGAAAACCCGGGGCUCAACCCCGGGACUGCAUUGGAAACUGUUUUUCUAGAGUGUCGGAGAGGCAAGUGGAAUUCCUAGUGUAGCGGUGAAAUGCGUAGAUAUUAGGAGGAACACCAGUGGCGAAGGCGGCUUGCUGGACGAUGACUGACGUUGAGGCUCGAAAGCGUGGGGAGCAAACAGG
RNAcentral lists this ribosomal RNA (402 nucleotides) under uncultured bacterium. RNAcentral's name for it is "bacterial SSU rRNA". It matches the Rfam family "Bacterial small subunit ribosomal RNA", at positions 357 to 776 of the family's 1533-position model. The record is from RNAcentral.